This 391-nucleotide ribosomal RNA is filed under the name Phyllocaulis variegatus. RNAcentral's name for it is "partial 16S ribosomal RNA". It matches the Rfam family "Bacterial large subunit ribosomal RNA", at positions 1928 to 2599 of the family's 2925-position model. Lineage: Eukaryota; Metazoa; Mollusca; Gastropoda; Systellommatophora; Veronicellidae. The record is from RNAcentral.
CGGCCGCAGUACCCUGACUGUGCUAAGGUAGCAUAAUAAAUUGAUUUUUAAUUGAAGUCUGGAAUGAAUGGAGAAACGAAGAUAAUCUGUCUUGUAAAAAAAUUUUUUAAAUUACUUAUAAGGUGAAAAUGCCUUAAAUAAGAAAAUAGACGAGAAGACCCUAAGAAUUUUAAGAAAUAUAAUUAUUUAUUUUUAUUAAGUCUUUUUACUGGGGCGGUGAAGGAUUAAAAUUAACAUCCUUAUGUUUACUAUCAAGCUUUGUUAAAAUUUAAUAAAUUACCUUAGGGAUAACAGCAUAAUUUUGUAAAAAGUUUGUGACCUCGAUGUUGGACUAGGAAAUUUUAAGACUAGCUGUCAUAAAGAAAAGUUCUGUUCGAACUUUUUCUCCUAC